GAUGGAGAGACUACUCCUGGUCUAUGGAAUGCUGUGUAUAUGGAAUCAUGGGAUUGGGUUUUUCUCAUUCAGCACAAUUCUCUAGAGAUUUAUUCAGUUGCUUUUUAGACUAAAUGCACUCCUUUGUCUUGGU
This is a long non-coding RNA of Neomonachus schauinslandi (Hawaiian monk seal), 133 nucleotides long. RefSeq lists it as uncharacterized. The record is from RefSeq and is a predicted model, not a curated record. The transcript has 3 exons. NCBI's taxonomy places the organism in Eukaryota, Metazoa, Chordata, Mammalia, Carnivora, Phocidae.